Molecule: ribosomal RNA, 785 nt
Filed under: uncultured archaeon
Lineage: Archaea
Description: bacterial SSU rRNA
Rfam family: Archaeal small subunit ribosomal RNA
Source: RNAcentral
AGCGUCCGUAGCUGGCCGUGAAAGUUCGUCGGGAAAUCCAUCCGCUCAACGGAUGGGCGUCCGGCGAAAACUUCACGGCUUGGGACCGGAAGGCUCGAGGGGUACGUCCGGGGUAGGAGUGAAAUCCUGUAAUCCUGGACGGACCGCCGAUGGCGAAAGCACCUCGAGAAGACGGAUCCGACAGUGAGGGACGAAAGCUAGGGUCUCGAACCGGAUUAGAUACCCGGGUAGUCCUAGCCGUAAACAAUGUUCACUAGGUGUGGCACAGGCUACGAGCCUGUGCUGUGCCGUAGGGAAGCCGAGAAGUGAACCGCCUGGGAAGUACGUCCGCAAGGAUGAAACUUAAAGGAAUUGGCGGGGGAGCACUACAACCGGAGGAGCCUGCGGUUUAAUUGGACUCAACGCCGGACAUCUCACCAGCUCCGACUACAGUAAUGACGGUCAGGUUGAUGACCUCGCCACGAGCUGUAGAGAGGAGGUGCAUGGCCGCCGUCAGCUCGUACCGUGAGGCGUCCUGUUAAGUCAGGCAACGAGCGAGACCCGCACUCUUAAUUGCCAGCAGCAGUUCCGACUGGCUGGGUACAUUAGGAGGACUGCCAGUGCCAAACUGGAGGAAGGAACGGGCAACGGUAGGUCAGUAUGCCCCGAAUGAGCUGGGCUACACGCGGGCUACAAUGGCCGAAACAAUGGGUUGCAACCCCGAAAGGGAACGCUAAUCUCCGAAAUUCGGUCGUAGUUCGGAUUGAGGGCUGAAACUCGCCCUCAUGAAGCUGGAUUCGGUAGUA